GCGUUGUUCGGAAUCACUGGGCGUAAAGGGAGCGUAGGCGGCGUGGUAAGUCAGAUGUGAAAUCCCGGGGCUCAACCCCGGAACUGCAUCCGAUACUGCCAUGCUAGAGGAUUGGAGAGGUAGCUGGAAUUCUUGGUGUAGCAGUGAAAUGCGUAGAGAUCAAGAGGAACACUCGUGGCGAAAGCGAGCUACUGGACAAUUCCUGACGCUGAGGCUCGAAGGCUAG
Molecule: ribosomal RNA, 226 nt
Filed under: uncultured bacterium
Lineage: Bacteria
Description: partial 16S ribosomal RNA
Rfam family: Bacterial small subunit ribosomal RNA
Source: RNAcentral